UUUGCCCUCAGAGGCAUUGUAGGUGUCACUGCUGUGUCACAUGGGUGUCAGUAGGUGGCAGAGAGAAGAGCAGCUGAGUCUACACUCCGUGUUCUGACCUAUGAACAUCUAAAUGAUUAACAACCUAACCUU
Grammomys surdaster is the source of this 132-nucleotide small nucleolar RNA. RefSeq annotates it as small nucleolar RNA SNORA17. NCBI's taxonomy places the organism in Eukaryota, Metazoa, Chordata, Mammalia, Rodentia, Muridae. The transcript has a single exon. The record is from RefSeq and is a predicted model, not a curated record.